GGAUGAACGCUGGCGGCGUGCCUAAUACAUGCAAGUCGAGCGAACAGAUGAGGAGCUUGCUCCUCUGACGUUAGCGGCGGACGGGUGAGUAACACGUGGAUAACCUACCUAUAAGACUGGGAUAUCUUCGGGAAACCGGAGCUAAUACCGGAUAAUAUAUUGAACCGCAUGGUUCAAUAGUGAAAGACGGUCUUGCUGUCACUUAUAGAUGGAUCCGCGCCGCAUUAGCUAGUUGGUAAGGUAACGGCUUACCAAGGCAACGAUGCGUAGCCGACCUGAGAGGGUGAUCGGCCACACUGGAACUGAGACACGGUCCAGACUCCUACGGGAGGCAGCAGUAGGGAAUCUUCCGCAAUGGGCGAAAGCCUGACGGAGCAACGCCGCGUGAGUGAUGAAGGUCUUCGGAUCGUAAAACUCUGUUAUUAGGGAAGAACAAAUGUGUAAGUAACUAUGCACGUCUUGACGGUACCUAAUCAGAAAGCCACGGCUAACUACGUG
RNAcentral lists this ribosomal RNA (498 nucleotides) under uncultured bacterium. RNAcentral's name for it is "partial 16S ribosomal RNA". It matches the Rfam family "Bacterial small subunit ribosomal RNA", at positions 27 to 507 of the family's 1533-position model. The record is from RNAcentral.